RNAcentral lists this ribosomal RNA (253 nucleotides) under uncultured bacterium. Its description in RNAcentral is "partial 16S ribosomal RNA". It matches the Rfam family "Bacterial small subunit ribosomal RNA", at positions 524 to 776 of the family's 1533-position model. The record is from RNAcentral.
UACGGGGGGGGCAAGCGUUGUUCGGAAUUACUGGGCGUAAAGGGCUCGUAGGCGGCCAACUAAGUCAGACGUGAAAUCCCUCGGCUUAACCGGGGAACUGCAUCUGAUACUGGAUGGCUUGAAUCCGGGAGAGGGAUGCGGAAUUCCAGGUGUAGCGGUGAAAUGCGUAGAUAUCUGGAGGGACACCGGUGGCGAAGGCGGCAUCCUGGACCGGCAUUGACGCUGAGGAGCGAAAGCCAGGGGAGCAAACGGG